RNAcentral lists this non-coding RNA (30 nucleotides) under Mus musculus (house mouse). Lineage: Eukaryota; Metazoa; Chordata; Mammalia; Rodentia; Muridae. The record is from RNAcentral.
UGNGCUUCAAACCAUGCUUGUUGCCUGAGC